CAUAGCCAAAAAUAACUAAUGGAUUAAGAGUUGGAUUACUCACGAAUCUAACAUCACCGCCACCUGGUGCCCAAGUAUCAUAUACUCCACCAACAAAUAGAGCUUUGAUUACUAAUAAAAAUGCUCCAAUACCUAGUAAUACUAAAUGUAUGCCAAGUAUUGUUGUCAUCUUAUUUUUAUCGCGCCA
RNAcentral lists this antisense RNA (187 nucleotides) under Bangia atropurpurea. Its description in RNAcentral is "Antisense RNA which regulates isiA expression". It matches the Rfam family "Antisense RNA which regulates isiA expression". Lineage: Eukaryota; Rhodophyta; Bangiophyceae; Bangiales; Bangiaceae. The record is from Rfam by way of RNAcentral.